AUUGAACGCUGGCGGCAUGCCUUACACAUGCAAGUCGAGCGGCAGCGCGGGGGGCAACCCUGGCGGCGAGCGGCGAACGGGUGAGUAAUGCAUCGGAACGUGUCCUCUUGUGGGGGAUAACCAGUCGAAAGACUGGCUAAUACCGCAUGAGAUCGAGAGAUGAAAGCGGGGGACCGCAGGGCCUCGCGCGAGAGGAGCGGCCGAUGUCGGAUUAGCUAGUUGGCGGGGUAAUGGCCCACCAAGGCGACGAUCCGUAGCUGGUCUGAGAGGACGACCAGCCACACUGGGACUGAGACACGGCCCAGACUCCUACGGGAGGCAGCAGUGGGGAAUAUUGGACAAUGGGCGCAAGCCUGAUCCAGCGAUGCCG
Molecule: ribosomal RNA, 370 nt
Filed under: uncultured bacterium
Lineage: Bacteria
Description: bacterial SSU rRNA
Rfam family: Bacterial small subunit ribosomal RNA
Source: RNAcentral